AUACGUAGGAUCCAAGCGUUAUCCGGAGUGACUGGGCGUAAAGAGUUGCGUAGGUGGUUAUAUAAGUGAAUAGUGAAAUCUGGCGGCUCAACCGUACAGGCUAUUAUUCAAACUGUAUAACUCGAGAAUGGUAGAGGUAACUGGAAUUUCUUGUGUAGGAGUGAAAUCCGUAGAUAUAAGAAGGAACACCAAUGGCGUAGGCAGGUUACUGGACCGAUAUUGACGCUGAGACGCGAAAGCGUGGGUAGC
Molecule: ribosomal RNA, 249 nt
Filed under: uncultured bacterium
Lineage: Bacteria
Description: partial 16S ribosomal RNA
Rfam family: Bacterial small subunit ribosomal RNA
Source: RNAcentral